Neofelis nebulosa (Clouded leopard) is the source of this 4112-nucleotide long non-coding RNA. RefSeq lists it as uncharacterized. Lineage: Eukaryota; Metazoa; Chordata; Mammalia; Carnivora; Felidae. The transcript is spliced from 4 exons. The record is from RefSeq and is a predicted model, not a curated record.
UCUCUCUCUCUGUCUCUGCCUCUCCCCAGCUCUCAAAUUUUCUCUCUCUCUCUCUGUCUCAAAAAUAAAUAAACAUUUUUUAAAAAUAGAGGGAUGCACCCUUACACCAUGAUGGGAGACGCCUGGGGAGUGAGGUUCUGGAGGGGACAUUGGUGGGGAUCAGAGGACAGUGCUGAGUGAGAACCAGACAGCCGAGUGGGGAGAUGUCUAGAGAGGGCUGUUCCCUGAUGGAGCGUUGGUUCUGAGGUCUCUGUAGGCAAGCGGGGAGGUGCUGGGGGAGGAAGCAUUACAAAGCAGGAGAGAACAAGGGCCAGGUCGCUCCCAAGGGGACACAGUGGCCUAUGUCUGUCCCCACUGCACCUAGAGGAGAAGCCAGUGGCCUGUACCCACACCUGGCCCGGGACGUGGAGGUGGCCCAGCACAAUGGUGGCGACUUCCCCUUUGCCCUGAUCUUGUGCACGUUGCUCCCUUGGCCCGCCCACCCAUUUUUCCUCCCUGCAGACUGCCCUCUCCUCCCAUGAAAGUGAGUCUGACAAGCGAGGGGUACCUGGUCGUGCUUGUCAGCGGAUGGGCUUCCUCACAGGGCUGAAUCUCCACACCACGCUGUCCUUUUCACGCUUUCCUCCCCUCAUCUCAUUGCUUGUUCUCUGGCUUCUCUUCCCUGUGAGAGUGGGAGCACUUCCUGGGAGGACAGGGCCCAGUGCAUCCUGUUUAUGUCUGUACCUCCGGGAUCCGGCCUCACACCCGGCACCGAGUGCACACGUGGGACAGUGGAUAAACGAACGGGUGAACUUGUGGCUCUGCUGUUCUAGAAACCAUCUCAGGUAGCUUUGGUGACAACGUGUACUUUUCGGUGCUCGCUGCGAGGGAUAGCUUUGUAGAUGGACCAUAGUGGAUUAGACCUGCCAGCCAUUUUCAGUGGUGACUUUGUCCUGAGACGGAACUGUUGGAACGAGGAGGGCAGGAUUCAAUUCCAAGAUUCAGAAAAUUCAGUAUCACCGUGGCGUAAACCAGACAGGAGUUUAUUUCUGUCUCACAUAAACCGAGCCCGGGGGGAAGCGAUCCGCGGAAUCCUUAGGGCCCAGCCUUCCCCGACCCUCCACUUGGCCCUCGCUUGGCCCUUGACUCUCUUUCUCCUGGUCCAAGAUGGCAGCAGCCGCGUUUCAGGCAGCAGGCAGCAAGAGGGGGAAACGCAGAGAACAAAACAAAAAUGCAGCCACCGGACACUUCUGCUUACAUUCCGUUAUCUAGAACUUCUAUGGCUGCAGAAGAGGCUGGGAUGUAACCUCUAUUCUGGGCGGCCAUGUGCCCGCCCAGGUAGGGAGGCUGCAACGAUGGUUUUGUCAGGUCACCAGCAACGUUGGCCACAGUUGCGUCUGGGUAGAGGUCGCGUGUCUUCCUUCUCACUCCCUCUUUCACGUGCAGGGUGGGAACCAAGUGGAAGGUCUCAGGCCCCGUGCUCCUGUGCGGGGUCAUCGUUAGCUUUUCCCAGGAGCGGGGCAAGCUGGCCACAGCGUGCUGUGAUUGGGUUAUCUGUGUUGAAUGGCACGAGGUUGUCCACAAGGCAAAUAUCAAAUUGCAGGGAGUAGGCUGCACUUAAAUGCGCUGGGCCAAAAAAACCUAAGAAACACACAAACAAAAAAGCCACCCUAAACCCAAGGGAAAUCUGUCAGGGCUAAGAGGCAGCGGUGAGCAGGGAGGAAGGCAGUAUGAGUUCAUGGUGGGGCCACGGUUUUGCUGCGUCGUGAUUGAAAGAGCGUUUACUAUAGGGUGGGAAUUUUAAAUCUCUUUUUAAAAGCAUGAGUCUCCGGGGAGUGUGCCGGAGGCGGGAACCGCUCCCCGGAGAGCAGUUUUGUAACUACUUGUAGCUGAGUUUAUUUUGUUUCACUGAAGUAUGCCAGGCUGGACAUUUCCUCCUGUUCUCAUGCUUCUGGACUCAAGAAUGCAGAGAGCACGCUGGCCUCCGGAAAGCAUCAGCAGCAGGAUGUGAACCAGGGACUCCCCCUUCGUGUCCAGAGGGCGAAUCACCUUGCUCCUGAGCCGUCAGCGUGGGUGCGGACUGGGGGCGCCGGGGAGAAGCAGGCGCUACCGGUAAUGGAAGUGUGAUGGGCUGGCGUCUCAGCCAAAGUACACUUGAACGUGAACUGCUGGUGUUUAUUCAAGUCGACUUCCUCACGUCCUAUGUCCCGGGGGCCUGGGCCGUCCCCGUUACUGCCAUUGCUGCGAUGGUGCGGGAUCCAGCGUGCUCAAGGUGUGUGCCUCUGGGCUGGGCUGAUGCCCAGGGCCGGGCUUCCUUUCGGGAGCCGCGUCAGUUUCCCUCUCAGCCGUCACACUCCUCGGCAGGCCAGAGCGACAAAGGCAGGAGUGCGUGCAGUGUAAGUCAAUCAACGAAGCAAACAAAAUCCAGAGAAACAGCACCUGCCCUCGACUGAGCGCAUGCUGUGUUCUAGGUCCUGAAUGCCCGAGAUCUCAGCACCUCCUCAAGGCGGGGAUUGUCUUCUCACUUCGGGGGUCAGGAGAACAGGGUCGUACCAGUUGGGUGAUGUGCCUCCGGGUCUGUGUGUGAUGGGGCUUGGGGGUCAGGUGGGAUCCUCAAGCUGGGGAGCAGCCUAGCCCCAUGAAUGCUGCCAAGGGGCAUCUCUGUGGGAAAGAGGAGGCACUCUCCCUCUCGCGCAGGGAGCUCUGUGGGCUGUGGGGCGGAGCGACCUCCCACGCGGCAGCACCUGUUCCCUCCACAAACCGGCCAGCGCCGCUUUCCUGCCCUUGGGAGCAGACACUGCGGUUGACAAAGGUCGUCCGGCUUAUCCAGCCUCUGUUUUCCUGUGACAUUGAUGUUUAUGCCAAGUGGGAGAGAGACCUCAAAGUGUUUAGGCUUUAUUGUUCUGCUGAGCUAUUCAUGGGCCAAUGUAUUUCCUACUGCAUAAACCCAGACUGGACUUCGUGGACGGUGAUUACACUAAACCAACACCACAAGGACCCCACCUUACUCCCAGGUUAUGGUCAAAUAUGUGUGGAUGUUUCUGACAAGCUAUGUGUGAGACGAGUGGAGGCCCAGGAGUCGGAUCCAACUGUGUUUGUGGCUGGUACAGAGGAAGGUGAGAUGUAUGCAGGAAUUUCACGCUCCUUCACUCUUGAUAGGUGCUGCUAGGAAUCUGGGUUAGAGUCAAAUUUGUGUUGGAUGCUCUGGGUGAACUCCUUAACUAUUUGUUUGUGGUACUGCUAAAUAUUUCCAGAUGUCAGCACCACACAUAUGCCACGAUGCUGUGAUUAAAGCGCUCAGUGCUGAAACUCUUUUUUUUUUUUUUUUUUUAAUAAGAAAAAUACAUAAGGAGAAAUUAAAUCUCCCUUUCUGUCUGGAACCCACCAUACAGAUCCUGCAUUAUUUACCAACCACAAGAGUUUUUCCUUGGCUGGUACAUGCGUCUCUCCUAGUGUUUUUUCCAGCUGCUCAUACAGACUUUGGCAAAGUUACUCACUAGCUCCGAAUACCAGGAUUACCCCAUUCUCGUUUAGCAGUUCAGGGAUUUGGCACCUGGAGGAAGAGCAAAGGCGAUUUCAGAAUCCCACUAAUUCCCCAAAUGGAACUAAGUGAUAGUCCCAGCCUCAUGGGGUUGUGUGAAGACGGAAGAGGGCAUUGCGUGGAAAGUAUCGACUACAGUGCCUGGUACCCACCGUGGUCUCAGGCAAGGCCAGUUCUUUUCCUGAGGAGGGUCACGUGAUACCCGACCAACAGAUUUUCACAUCGGCUGGGGCGGGGACGUUGGAGCCUCUGGUGUGGGCUUGUCUGUAGUGGAGACAUUGAUCGAAAAUCUUGGGAGUGUUAUGCAAGAAAAGAAACAGGCAGAAAGAACAGUAGUUCUGGAGCUGAAAGUUUGAAUCUCAGACUUCUCUCUUCCUCCCUCAGUGACCUUAGACAAGGCACUCACAGUUGACCCUUGAACAACACAAGGGUUAGGGGCACUGACCCUCUCGCAGUUGAAUAUCUGUGUAUAAUUUUUGACUGCUCCCCAGACUUACUACUAAUAGCCUACUGUUGACCGGAAGUCUUACCGAUGACACAAACAGUCGAUUAGCAUAUAUUUUGUAUACGAUAUGUAUUAUAUACUGUAUUC